AGGUCGUAGUCAAACCCCACAGCCACGCGAACUCUAAGUCAGCCACGAAUAGGCUAUCCCAACUAACGGCGGGAAAGACUCCACGGAGGGUGUAAGACCCGUGUGGGCGCGUGUCAAAGCUGUGCGGGCUCGGCCUCUUUUCCCUGAGAGUCGCGUUGCUUGAGCAUGCAGCGCUAAGCAGGUCGUAAACUCGAUCUAAGGCUAAAUAUCUCCACAGAACCGAUAGCGAACAAGUACCGUGAGGGAAAGUUGAAAAGCACUCUGGAGAGAGAGUCAAAAGACCGUGAAACCGCUCAGAGUAUAAGCCCAUGGCAGCUUGGAAGGCAUAUCGCGAGCGGGGCAUCGGUCUUCCUUCGCGGGGAGCCGGUGUUACCUUGCCUCUGUUGUGGCUCGUUAUGGUAGGGGGGUCAAGUCCACAUCCCGCCGUCGUGUGGGGAGUUCUCGGGCGUGUCGUUGCUUUGCGGUUGACCUCGGUUGGCCGUAGGGCUCUUCGCGCUUGGUUCUUCUUUAGACACGGACGUUCAGACUCAGAGGCAAGACGCGAUAACCAGCCCACCACGGCACGUUGUGAGGUCACCCACAGGCUCAGCUUUCGAUUGUGGUCCUUGACGCCGAGCAAGCACAAUGCGUGUCGCAGAUGUUCCUAACCGGACAAUAUCCUUGUCAGGACCGUGGAACGACACGCGCUCAACAGUCAGGAUCGGGCGAUGACAGAGUUCUGGUACGAUCCUCUUGCGACGAGCCGCCUUCUGGCCGAUUUCCGAUGCUCAGGUCUCCCGCAUGUGCCGCGGGGAGAUCGCUUUGGGCGGUCUGGACCCUUAAGAGUCCUCUCAGCCGGGCAACGGAAAGAGUGGUGUAAAGUCCAAGCCC
RNAcentral lists this ribosomal RNA (870 nucleotides) under Gammarus arduus. Its description in RNAcentral is "partial 28S ribosomal RNA". It matches the Rfam family "Eukaryotic large subunit ribosomal RNA", at positions 154 to 625 of the family's 3401-position model. The record is from RNAcentral. Lineage: Eukaryota; Metazoa; Arthropoda; Malacostraca; Amphipoda; Gammaridae.